AUACCUUGGUCAGUCAUGUAGUGCUGAUUCACACUGUUCUCCAGUAAGCAACAGUGAAUGUAGCAGUGGUACAUGUUCCUGUACGAGUGAUUACUUUCAAAUAGGAUCAAGCUCCGCUGAUUCGUGCUUAAAGAGAUCCCUUGGUCAGACUUGUGGCGCUGAUACCCAUUGUUCCAUAGUAACAAACAGUAAAUGUAGCAGUGGUACAUGUUCUUGUAAGAGUGGCUUCUAUAAUAAUGGAAAUACAUGUACAAAGCGCCAGCUGGGACAAUCAUGUGAUGCAACAAACCAGUGUUCAGCAGUCAAUGCAGUGUGUAGUAGUAGAACAUGUCGGUGUCCAAGCACAUAUUAUGAUACAACCGGAUCUCAAAUUGGUGGCACUUGUG
Mercenaria mercenaria is the source of this 386-nucleotide long non-coding RNA. RefSeq lists it as uncharacterized. The record is from RefSeq and is a predicted model, not a curated record. Lineage: Eukaryota; Metazoa; Mollusca; Bivalvia; Venerida; Veneridae. The transcript is spliced from 3 exons.